This 469-nucleotide ribosomal RNA is filed under the name Salea anamallayana. Its description in RNAcentral is "partial 16S ribosomal RNA". It matches the Rfam family "Bacterial large subunit ribosomal RNA", at positions 1910 to 2604 of the family's 2925-position model. The record is from RNAcentral. Lineage: Eukaryota; Metazoa; Chordata; Lepidosauria; Squamata; Agamidae.
GAGGGGAGAACCCUUAAACGGCCGCGUAUAUAACCGUGCAAAGGUAGCAAAAUCAUUUGUCCCCCAAAUAGGGACCAGUAUGAACGGCAACAUGAGAAAGAAACUGUCUCCUUAGGCGAGCCAAUGAAUCUGAUCUGUCUGUACAAACGCAGGCAUAAAAAAACAAGACAAAAAGACCCUGUGAAACUUUAAAUGUCCGUCAAUCCAAUGACCAAGACAUUUUUGGUUGGGGCAACCAAAGAGAAACACAAACCUCUAAAUCUGUCUCGCGGCCAACAAGCCAACCGACCCAAAACUAGACCCAGCAUUGCUGAUCAAAGAACCAAGCUACUCCAGGGAUAACAGCGCCACAUUCUUGAAGAGUCCAUAUCAACAAGAAUACCUACGACCUCGAUGUUGGAUUAGGGCAUCCUGAUGGCGCAAAAGCUAUCAAGGGUUCGUUUGUUCAACGAUUAAAGCCCCACGUGAU